Molecule: unclassified non-coding RNA, 197 nt
Filed under: uncultured fungus
Lineage: Eukaryota; Fungi
Description: sequence contains ITS1
Source: RNAcentral
GUAUAGAUUUUUAUAGUCACAACAUUCUAUUAACAUACAUUGGGGUAAAUGAAGCAACAUAGACCUGGGAAGGUCUACAAAGGGUGCACAGGUGGAGAUAUAAAGAUGACAAGGCGUGCACAUGCUCCCAAGAGAACCAGCAACAACCCAUCAGGUUUAUUUCAAUAAUGAUCCUUCCGCAGGUUCACCUACGGAAA